Panicum virgatum (switchgrass) is the source of this 1674-nucleotide RNA transcript. It is a transcript of the gene named protein NCA1-like, with no coding region annotated. The transcript is spliced from 7 exons. Lineage: Eukaryota; Viridiplantae; Streptophyta; Magnoliopsida; Poales; Poaceae. The record is from RefSeq and is a predicted model, not a curated record.
CAUCCGCCCAUCCAUGAUUCAGUUAGGUUCUUCUUCAGUGUCCAACCAAGGAUCGAUCUUGGAAGUGGAUGCCCCAUGAAAUCUAACAGGAGCAGCAGCGGGUGUGCCCCGCGAAAUUUGACAGGAACGUCAGUGGCGUACGCCCUGUCACCGGGAAGAACCAGGCCGGCGCUGGGCACCAGGGCAGCACGGGCAAUGCUGAGGGGAAGAGCUCGGAUCCCCGAUUGGUGCCGGCGAGGUGCCCGUUCGGCUACGACUCCGGCACGUUCAAGCUGGGCCCGCUCAGCUGCAUGAUCUGCCAGGCGCUGCUCCACGAAUGCAGCAGAUGCAACCCCUGCUCCCAUAAGUUCUGCAAGGCUUGUGUGUUGCGCUUUAAGGACUGCCCGUUGUGUGGUGCUGAUGUAGAGGGCAUUGAACCUGAUCCUGGACUUCAGGCCCUCGUCGAUAGCUUCAUUGACGGACAUGCCCGAAUCAAACGAUCACAUGCUUCAGGGGAUGGGGAAGUAUUGGGUGGCAAGAACAAGGUGAUAUAUGAGGAUGUUUCAAUGGAGAGAGGAGCUUUUCUGGUGCAGCAAGCUAUGAGGGCUUUCCGUGCUCAGAACAUUGGAAGUGCGAAGUCAAGGCUUAUUAUGUGUGCAGAAGACAUCAGGGAGGAGUUGAAAACUUCAGAAGAUAAUCUAGACCUUCGCUCUCAACUUGGAGCUGUUUUAGGAAUGCUUGGGGAUUGCUGUCGGACCUUGGGAGAUUCUCCUUCAGCAAUCAGUUACUAUGAAGAAAGUGCUGAGUUCCUCUCAAAAUUGCCCGUAAAGGAUCUUGAGUUGGUGCAUACUCUCUCAGUUUCACUUAAUAAAAUUGGUGACCUUCGCUACUAUGAUGGGGACCUGCAAUCUGCAUGAAGUUAUUAUUCCCGUUCAUUGGAUGUUCGCGGAAAUGCAGUGAAGGAACACUCAGCAGUGGCCUCCCAGGUCAUUGAUCUAGCAACUUCUCUAGCAAAAGUUGCGGAUGUUGAUAGAAACCUUGGGAAUGAAAGCACUGCAGUCGAGGGUUUCAAGGAAACAAUUGAAUGCCUUGAGAAACUGAAGCUUGGUCCUGAGCAAGCUAGUCUUGAGCAAAGGCGCCUAUCUGUUUUAGGCUUCCUGCACAACCAAUUGGCAGUUAAAUAAAGGACAGUGCGUGGCAUCCUAAUGCCAUACCCAUAAGAUACAUAUUCACCAAGAUGGGUUGAAGAACUCCAGUUUUCAUGUGAUGCAUACUGAAGGAACUUCCCUGUGGUAAUUAGAGGGUGUUCUUGAAAGCAGCACAAAAUACGAGCUCUGCCAUUGUAAAUAUAUCCUCCAUGUGCUGGGCGUGGAGAGAACCCUUGAUGGCUGCCUAUAUGUGCAGCCGUUGAACCCCCCUAGUCUAUUCCGGCAACUGGGCGCGAACCUGAAAUGGUUAGGUGUGGAGGAUGAAACUUCUCAGAAGUCAUGUGUGAAUAUAAUCCCUUUGUACAUUGACUAGGGCCUGUUUAGCAGGGCUCCGGCUCCACAAAAAACGGCUCCGGCUCCGGCUUCUCUGGUGGAGCGGCUUCUCUAGUGGAGCUGGAGCCGUUUUGUAAAGCUUUUGGCAAAAUGGCUUCAUGCUGAUUUUUAUGAAUGGAUAGAACAUGUGAAAUGUCCAAUAUGCCUUUUGCUA